This 468-nucleotide ribosomal RNA is filed under the name uncultured bacterium. RNAcentral's name for it is "partial 16S ribosomal RNA". It matches the Rfam family "Bacterial small subunit ribosomal RNA", at positions 28 to 507 of the family's 1533-position model. The record is from RNAcentral.
GACGAACGCUGGCGGCGUGCUUAACACAUGCAAGUCGAACGGAAAGGCCCUGCUUUUGUGGGGUGCUCGAGUGGCGAACGGGUGAGGAACACGUGAGUAACCUGCCCUUGACUUUGGGAUAACUUCAGGAAACUGGGGCUAAUACCGGAUAGGAGCUCCUGCUGCAUGGUGGGGGUUGGAAAGUUUCGGCGGUUGGGGAUGGACUCGCGGCUUAUCAGCUUGUUGGUGGGGUAGUGGCUUACCAAGGCUGUGACGGGUAGCCGGCCUGAGAGGGUGACCGGCCACAUUGGGACUGAGAUACGGCCCAGACUCCUACGGGAGGCAGCAGUGGGGAAUAUUGCACAAUGGGCGGAAGCCUGAUGCAGCAACGCCGCGUGCGGGAUGACGGCCUUCGGGUUGUAAACCGCUUUCGCCUGUGACGAAGCGUGAGUGACGGUAAUGGGUAAAGAAGCACCGGCUAACUACGUG